GAGACCUUGUUUCUAAUAUAAAAUUGAGAAUGGAAAUGGGGAUCACUGUUUCUAAUCAUCUUCGGAAGGCCCCUUUUUUAAUUUAUAAUUACCAAUGGAAGUAGAAAGACCUUUUGUCUAACCUGUCUUUGUGUUAUUUUUUAUACGUCCGUCAAUUUUGACGGGACGUAUUAUGGUAUACAAAUGUCCAGUGUCCGUCCGUCCGUCCGUCCGUCUGUCCGGUGUAAACAUGUCGCACCGUAACUUGAGAACGACUUAUCCAAAUUU
This 267-nucleotide long non-coding RNA is filed under the name Mytilus galloprovincialis (Mediterranean mussel). Lineage: Eukaryota; Metazoa; Mollusca; Bivalvia; Mytilida; Mytilidae. The record is from RNAcentral.